RNAcentral lists this ribosomal RNA (253 nucleotides) under uncultured bacterium. RNAcentral's name for it is "partial 16S ribosomal RNA". It matches the Rfam family "Bacterial small subunit ribosomal RNA", at positions 524 to 776 of the family's 1533-position model. The record is from RNAcentral.
UACGGAGGGUGCAAGCGUUGUUCGGAAUUACUGGGCGUAAAGGGCGCGUAGGCGGGUCUGUAAGUCGAUUGUGAAAGCCCAGAGCUUAACUUUGGAAUGGCAGUCGAAACUGCAGGUCUUGAAUGUCUGAAAGGGUAGGGGAAUUCCUGGUGUAGAAGUGAAAUUCGUAGAUAUCAGGAGGAACACCGGAGGCGAAAGCGCCUGCCUGGCAGUGCAUUGACGCUAAAGUGCGAAAGCGUGGGGAGCAAACAGG